GGCAGUUGGGAGCCAUACCAACUGUGGGGUUACCUGGUGAUUCCUGGUUGCCUUUUAUUAGGGAAGGAAGAAGCUGGUUUCUCUCUUGGACUUUGGAGAAUCAAGCUGGAGGCGGCCUGGUGACUUUGAAGGCUGUAUGGGACAACUUAACAGUAAAAAAAUAAGAUCUCCAAGGAGUGGAGCACACCACCUUUAUUCUUUGGACAGCUCUCCAUGGAAGGAAGUUUGCCCUGACCUUCAGCCUGAAUGUACUUCCCUACAACUUCCCCCCAGUCUCUGGGACCAAGCAGGACAAAUAUAAGCCCUCUUCCUGUGAUAAUCUUGAAGGUGUUAAGCUACAAACUACAGAAAUGGAAAGCCUGGACCAAAAUGUACUCUGGGGCAAAACCAGAGAAGAGAGGGAGAAGGAAAACAAGUGUACAGAUUCUGAGGAAAUGGAGGUCUCCUUCACUCAGCUUUCCAAAGCAAGCAGGACCAAAGAGACAGAAGUAACAAGAUGGGAGAGCCCUAAGGGAUGCUGCAGUCUGCUCAAACUGGCUUGGAAGAGCUGAUUAUUAAACUUUUAGUGCAAACACAUCUAAAAAUUCAGCAAAUGCUGCAAAUUGAGGCUCAAUGAUUUGUUUUAUUGAUAGAAUUUCAGAAAGUAAUGGAGAAAAUGUCAAUAUAUUAAACGGAUACCAUGUAUACAUUUCUUGAGAAUCAAUUGUUAAACUUUAUCAGCAUGCCACUCUGCACAAUUAAAUACUCCUUGAGCAAAUUGAGGGAC
This 766-nucleotide long non-coding RNA is filed under the name Monodelphis domestica (gray short-tailed opossum). RNAcentral describes it as "lncRNA (ENSMODG00000042992.1)". The record is from RNAcentral. Lineage: Eukaryota; Metazoa; Chordata; Mammalia; Didelphimorphia; Didelphidae.